AGACAAGGACUAGUAUAGAGUCCUGAAGUCCGAGACGCUGCGGGCGAGGCUGCACAGAUCCGGUUCCUGAACCAUUGAUUCCCGCGUGGCUGCACCUUCCCGACCUAGGCCAGUUCUGGGAGGCUUGCUGUCCACGAACCAACGCCAGGGAAGGAUGCCCCAGGAGUGUGUUUUUUUCAGCUGCUGCGCGGGGCAGGAAAACUUCCUGGCGGGUAAAUACUGGGCGCUGGAUCCACGAGGAGAUGCAGUGUUUUAUCUAUCUAUGGGUGGGCGACAUGUCCUUUUUCAACUUGUUGCCUUUGCUCAAGCUUUCUCUCCACUUGGAACAUGUUUCUGACACUUAGCCUCCACGAGUGGAAACUGUUCUCCAAGGAAGAGCUCCUAGAUCGUCUAGCCGGAAGUCCCCUCUUUCAGGCUCUGAACCUGCAGCUUGUGUUAGCAAAGGACAUGCAUGUCACUUAUCACUUCCCACUUAAUUCUAUAGCUGUAUGUGCCUGCCUGGUCGCCCCAGUUAGACUGUAAGCUCCAUGAGGGCAGUGUCCCGGGGUUGCUUUUGCCCUUGUAUCCCUGGCAGCAGCCGCACAGAGCAGUAUGUGAAAGGAAGAUAGAGUUAUGACUAAACUUUGGUAUUCGACAGCUCUUGCUUGGCCUAGUCAGUGUGUGAUCUUCGGCGUUUCUAAGUCUGUUUUCUCGUCUAUAAAACGAAGGCAGUAAUACCUUUUUUGGUUGUUGCUAGGGUUGAAUGAGGCAAAACAUGCCAGAAUCUUAGUGCACGGCCUCACGCGUGUUAAGCGCUCAGUACGUGUCAACGACUGCUUUUCUGUAUGGGAGGUCAAGCAGUGUUUGUUGACUGCAUUGGUGGUGCGUGGCUGGAGUGUGGCACAUACUGAGAGCAGGAUCUGUCCUCACAAGGGAGGUGACCCAGCCUUGGCAGCCUUCUUUUCCACCUAUUGAAAUCAGGAGCCUGAAUGUAGGCCUUGCCUCUCCGACAGGCUUUUAAAAUUUCUCUACCUACACGCCUUCUGGCACCUUCAUGAGGCCCUGGUUGUUUUCUGGGGGAGUCUAUACAGUCCCCCACAGAUUCUGGAAACUCUGAGCUGGAAACUCUGGGACCAUCUUCUCCCACAAUAGGCAUUUGCUCGCUACCAGGCCUAGCCCAGUGAGGAGCAGCGGGCGCUGCUUUGAGGGCCACAGAAAGACCCGUGUGCAGCGCUGGCCUUAAAAAAAUAGGGAACGGUUCCAGCUCAACCGUGGCUGUCCUCAUCCGGCCCCAGCCAAUCCAAGCAUUUUUUGGCGGUCAGGAUGGCGGAGCUGAAAGAGACCCGUCUCACCUGGAAGGGGCAGGUGAAAGGUGCAGGGACGGUGGACAUUGCCUCCGAGCGGCAUAAGACACCGGCUGGGAGUGGGUACGAGGGUGGAGGGCUGCCACGCGGGUCCCGCAACGGCGACAGGAGUGGGUGCCCAAGGUUGAAGGGAGAAAGAACAGCCUGUCGGGAGGUGGGAGAGGCGGGGCUCUGCAGAAGGGAGCGGAACUGUUGUGGAGAGGCAGCCCCUGGGUCCGCCCGGGGAGCUGGGAUGCCGCGCGGGCCACGUGCGCCCCGGAGUACUUAGGGUAGCGGCGGCCCGCAGGCAGUAGGGAGAGACCCUCUGUGGGCAGGGUCUUGUGCUGGAACCGCCAUUCCUCAGCCACAGGGGCGCCCGGUGUCUUUCUGCUUUAAAUCCUGAAACUAUUGACGCCCCAGGCGGAGACCAGUGUCUACAAACCAGGCGGUGAGUCUGCAGAGGGAGGAAUGUGCCUGGUUUUGCCGUGGAUCCCGAGCGCUCGGGCACAAAAAUUCCGAGGUGGGGGCAGAGGGGUGCACGGCACUGCGGGGUGGCGGACCUCGAGUGUGUGUGCAUCACGGUGGCCGCCGAGCAUAAAAGCAGGAAGCUGAGCUCCAGCGCCACUUCCCCACCCCACCUCCGGGGCAAAACUGUCUCAGGGGAAAUGUUUCUGCUCUCUUCUAGUCCCCAGUUUUCUUCUCCUCGGUGAUUUCAUGAUUCUGGAAAAAGAAAAGGAGAAAGGCUAUCGAAACAAUCUCUCUCUCCCCAGUUUCCAACCGAAGCCUGCAUUUCUCCUUGUUACAUUCCCUUGCUUCCCAUCUCGCUUCGCUCCUAGGCCUUUCAUAAAUCUAGCCCAACAAUCCAGGUCUUAAAACUGCGACCAGGACAAAGCGCCCCUCCAGCGCCUGAUCGCCAAUACACGCCCACAGACGCUCUGCAGCCGCCGGAGCCCACCAGGGCGCCUCUGUGAGCUCAUGCAGGGGGCUGUCUCCUCCCCACCAGCCGGCCCACGGGUGCCCCUCUACCCCAAAUUCCGCCGCCCCAGCCGCUCCCGGGCCAGGUACCUUGCGCCAGGCCUAAGCGGUUGUCUCUUGAGGACCCUGGGCAGGUUGCUCCUCAGUAGGCCACCAGGGCCUGUGAGGACUUCCAGGCGAAGGGGCCUAGCGGGCGGCGCCUAGACCUUAUCGCCGCUUCCUUUCCUCAUACCCAGCCCAGUGUAGUGCUGUUCCAGCCUGCGGAAAACCUCUAUCCGCUACCGCAUCCCUAAGGUUGAUCUGAGUUUUAUGCCCAGAGCAGGAGUUUGGGUUGUCUCCAGCUACCCCCUCAGUAUUGUUCAGACUCCCUUGGUCUGGUUCCCCAGUGGCGUGCUUCCCCGCAGGGAUCCCCGCCAGGCCAAUCUCAUCUAGGUGGCCUCCUUUUCCCGCGCGCGCAGCCUGUACCCUCGACGGCCGCGGGCCUGAAAGGAGGAGAACUCGAGAGCCGUAGUUGUACAGCAGCAGUCGCUCCGCAGGAGUCUCUUAUCAGAGUGGGAUCUGGUUCCAACGCCUAUCCAGUUACCAUCGCCUUCUGGGGCAUUUGCAUUCUCUUGUCUGAAAAGUAGAUCUUUGAAAUCCUCGAGCUGUGCUCUACUAAUAAUAGGUUUUCGUUCCAGACAGUUUAGCUAAUUACUGUCAGAUAAAGUAAGUAUGGCUGCAUCCAUGGAAGCGUUUGAUUUUAUUUUAAUCGAGUGUAUCUGCCUUCCUACCCUUUCAUCACCUCAUACAUUUAUACAAGCUCUCUCCCCCACCCUAUGAUUAAAGAUCAUCAGUAAAUGGUGGCAAAGUCCUUGAAGGGGAAGUGCUGUAUAGAUGCCUAAACGUCUGUACCUUUUUUUUUUUUUAAGGAAAACCACAUGCUAGCCAUUACAAUAAAUGCAUUAUCAAAUGAAAAAUGUGACAAUUUUUUGAAAACUGUUAAGUGUUCUCAUAGCUGUUAUUGUCUACACAAAGAUUGCUUAAUGCACAUAUAAAUAUAGGCAGAUAAUGGAUAAUUUUAGUUGUAAAUGCCACUGCUUAUCCCGUUGUCUCUCAACUUUUCAAAUUGUCAUUUAAUUAUGUAACCAAGGCUGCAAACAAGUUGAAAGUUAUCGUGGCUUUCUAAUCAAAAUGUAACAAUGUAACACUACAAUCAGAAGAGAUUUUUCUAUUAAAGCCUGAAAAAAUCAUCCUGUGAUGAACUCAGAUAGCCAAAACAUUUCAGGUGAAUCUUUUCAUUUUUUUAAUUGCUCUCCUAGAAGUUUCAUUUUCAAUGUCAACUUAUGAGAGAGAGACUCACUAAAUGGGUUUUUGUUAAUUUGUUGGUGGUAGUGAUGGUGGCGGUGGUGGUGGUGGGUGUGUGUGUUUGUGUGUAUGCGCAAGUGUGCUUUGCUUUGGUUUUUUGUUAAGGAAUGUUAGAAAGCUAUCCAUUUUUUUUAAAGCAAUUCAGAAGCAAUAGCAUUUUAAUUGCGAGACGGGUGAAUACAUUUUGUGCUUUUAAUGUCAACUAGGUUAGUGAGUCCUAGAAGGCAUUAAACUGUUCUAAUUUCUUGGGAGGUUUUUUUCUUGUCGAAGGAAUUUCAUAAAAGAGAUUUUGAAAUGCUGUUUUAAGCACUAGUUUGUUUUGCAUGUGUUUGCAGGAAUGCCAAAUUUUCCUAGAUUUUAUUUGGAAUUGAGUUUUCUAAAUUAACCACUAUUUCUCUUUCCUGGGAGAAAAUUAGUCCGAAUACAGUAAUUUGUAUAGUUCCUUGUAAAUUACAGGUCCUUGCUGAGAAUGUGACUUUCGA
This 4123-nucleotide long non-coding RNA is filed under the name Homo sapiens (human). Its description in RNAcentral is "HSALNT0359529". Lineage: Eukaryota; Metazoa; Chordata; Mammalia; Primates; Hominidae. The record is from RNAcentral.